CAGUCGCCUCGGGAAUACGAAGGGUGCAAGCGUUACUCGGAAUUACUGGGCGUAGAGCGUGCGUAGGUGGUGGUUUAAGUCCGUUGUGAAAGCCCUGGGCUCAACCUGGGAAUUGCAGUGGAUGCUGGGUCACUAGAGUGUGGUAGAGGAUAGUGGAAUUUCCGGUGUAGCAGUGAAAUGCGUAGAGAUCGGAAGGAACAUCUGUGGCGAAGGCGACUAUCUGGGCCAACACUGACACUGAGGCACGAAAGCGUGGGGAGCAAACAGGAUUAGAUACCCCAGUAGUCCCUGUCUCUUAUAC
Molecule: ribosomal RNA, 301 nt
Filed under: uncultured bacterium
Lineage: Bacteria
Description: partial 16S ribosomal RNA
Rfam family: Bacterial small subunit ribosomal RNA
Source: RNAcentral